Molecule: long non-coding RNA, 3036 nt
Organism: Zingiber officinale
Lineage: Eukaryota; Viridiplantae; Streptophyta; Magnoliopsida; Zingiberales; Zingiberaceae
Exons: 3
Source: RefSeq, a predicted model, not a curated record
CCCCCGUGCCCUAAAACCUAGGUCGACCCUUUCUUCCCCGAGCCCUCUCCCUCUCGCGAGUUCCCGCACCCCGCCGGCUUCUCCUCCUCCUCACGUGAGCACCACCGUAGCCGGCGAUCUUCUUCUCCCCCUCACGCGAAAGCUACAGUCGUCGGCCUCUCCUCACGUGAGCACCAGAGACGCAUGCCAUCGCACCCAAUGGCAUGAUAUUGCUCAAGCCGUCGCUCGCCGGAGUCUCCUAACCCCUCUACCCUACACCUAUAGCCCCGCUAGGUAUUCCUCUCUUCCGACCCUUGCUCUGCACCGAUCGAUCUACAGCGAAAGGGAAGAAAAUCCGAGCCCUAGUUUCGCCGUAUUUGGAUCUUGCUGGAUUCGGUGGAGGCUGGCAUUUCAGACAGUGAUCUCUUGCUCCAGAAUUUUUCUCUUGCUCCGGAACCUUAAUUUCGAGCUACAAUCGUGGAUCACAUCCCUGUCAAACUCAACAGCAACGUGCUGUGUUUCCGGUUGGAGAGAAAAUUUGGGCUUCACCAUAGCUCCGACUGUAGAUUUUCGGUAGCAAACAUCAUCGGCGAGCAUUUUUCGACGGUAGUGUUUCCUGGUCGGGAAUCAACAGGGAAGGUAUCGUGAGUUGUGGGGAAUUUGAUACUUAUUGUAGCUUGAUCUGUUUCUGGUUACAAAUAAUUAGGGUUUCUAAAGUUAAAUAAGAGUUCAAGUUUAUUAUUGGGUACAUGGGUAUAGCUUGAUUAUAUGUGUGGUUACAUGACUUUGAUUUACGACGAGUCACUUGACGGGUAGAUAAUUCUGGACGCUCGACCUAUAUUAAAGGCGGGUACUUCUUACUUUGACUCUCUUUAGUUCUUUUAAACUUGGUGAAUGAGCUAUUUUUAGAUAAGGAUUGUUUUAUCUGUGCUUGAUACUCCCACCCAAAUCUUUGAGAUAUUCGUUUUUAUAUCCAUAAAGUCUCUUGUUGCCAUCUAUGAUGUUUAGCAGAUAUUAGAUACCAACCUUGUAUGCUUUGAUUAUUGUUUAUUUAUGUAUCGUAUGAGCAUGUUGGCUUCAUGUAGUAUACUUGAUUCCUAUUUAUAUGUAUAUGAUGACUAUUGUAUUUUGCGCAUCAUAUCAUUACAUGCAUGUCAAUGACAAAUUCUCCCUUGCGGUCGAGAGAGUUAUUGACCAGGGCCACACGCUCAGCCACUCGAGAGAGUGGUAGUUGGAGCAUAUGCCACUUGACCUGUCGUUCCCCCACUCGCUCACUCAUGAGUAGAGGAAGCUGGAGUUGCGAGCAGCAGGGACCCCCGUCGCAGAUGUAGCUAGUUAGCUACUAUGCAACUGUCCACUCGAGAGAGUGGUAGCUGGAGUGUUGUACAGUUUGUCACUGACCUGGCCUCUCGACCAUGCAGGGGUCAUGGUACAGAGGGAUGAGUGGGAGUGACCAUUAGUGCAUACGCUUUUAUUAUUGUUAUACCUACCUAUGCUGUAGUUUCUUUGUUGUUGCUUUCUUAUGGUUACAGUUGUUCGUUUUGCCAUGUGAUACAUUUUUACUUGUUGAGCUAUAUAUGUAUCGAUCGCAUGUUGUUCGACUCCGGUUUACUUGUUGAUAUAAUGUCUUUACCUCACAUGUUACCUUCGUAGUGAUAAGCAGUUCAGUAGUUGAUCUGUAUUACUCCUGAUCUUCUAUUACCCAGCCUAGGACAUGGUUUCAGGUAUGAGCAUAUAUUACAAUUUUAUUUUAGUAUCUGCUAUUUUUCUUAUGAGACUGUAUACUGUUGACUCACUCUCUAUUUGUAUAUUAUGUUCAUGCACUAUCUUUCCUUUACCCGCUGAGUCCCAGUACUCACCACCCCACCAAUUGGUUUUUCUUUCGGUAGGUAGUAGGUAGAUGAAUCAAGGAUGCUGGGAGAGUCUUAGCUGCCACUCUCGCGUCACAUUCGAGGACAAUUUUCUUUUCGAUCUUAUUUCUAUUUGGAUGGUAUAGUGAUUUUGUGUAUCUGCUUUCUAACUAGUUGAUGUGGAUUUUGGAGUCUAGUAUGGUGAUUUCAGGUAUUUUGGUUAAUGACCUUGUUGGUCUUACAUUCGAUUUUCCCCUUGGAGUUUAUUAUGUGGAGUUUGUAUUUGUGUUGUUGUGAUUGUGGUAUAAAGCUUAGCCGGCUAGCAGUGUGUUGUUUUAGUUUGUAUGGGCUCCCUUUAUCGUUUUUCCUCUGUGUUGGUUUUUAGUACAGCCGAUUGAGCUGUUUAAUAUAUAUAUAACUGCAUGGUUGUGUUUAUUUUGUUCCAGCCGAGUGGGCUAAGUAUAUAAUUGCGUGAUUGUGUGUAAAUCCAGCCGUGUGGACUGAUGAUUAUUUUUCUUAUUUUGAGUGGUAAUGUAUAUGGUUAUAUGGUUAUGUAUGUAUCCUUCAGAUUGUUACUAAUACAGGGGAGAUGUUGCCGGAUUUUCGUCUGGCAGGGACUCCUCUGGGGCGUGACAGUACCCCAGAACUUAGAGCACAAGAAGUCGAGCGGAAGACACAGUAGACGAGAAGGAUGUCACGAGAAAGGAGCCUACGGGUUCGGUGGAUCUGAGAGAUGAGAAGCUGUGGAAGAGUACACGUGUGGAUGAGAAGGACGUGCAUAACAUUCAAGGGACAAGAAGCCAGGGAGGAAGCGUGCUCGUGGAGAAGGUCGAAGUUGGAUUUGUGUGAGCUCAACUCCAGAUAACCAGAGCAUCACCCAUGCGAAGAAGACCAGCUGGAGGAUGGUCUGCCUUGUAGAAGGCGCCUUUCAUUGCCUAUGGAAAGCGCCCUCAAUGACUCAUGGAAGGCGCCUUCAAUAGCCAUUCAUUGAAGAUAAAGCUUUAUUUUCAGCGAAUAAAACUUAUCUUGUUGGAGGCACCUUGGACUUCCCUGGAGACGCUUCCGAGCCAUAGAUAAGAUUUUUUAGGGGCUAUAAAAAGAUCCCCGGAGAUAGGAAAUUAAUAAAAACUUCAAUAUUAAUUUCCUAGUAUCUUUCUGAGCUAUCAUAAAGUGUAAGAGGCUUCCCUGCCUUCAAUAAAGAAGACUU